UAUAUAAAGGGAAAGGUACUACUACCCCCACACAGAUACAAUAGGAAAGGUACUACUACCCCCACACAUAUAUAAAGGGAAAGGUACUACUACCCCCACACAGAUACAAUAGGAAAGGUACUACUACCCCCACACAUAUAUAAAGGGAAAGGUACUACUACCCCCACACAGAUACAAUAGGAAAGGUACUACUACCCCCACACAUAUAUAAAGGGAAAGGUACUACUACCCCCACACAGAUACAAUAGGAAAGGUACUACUACCCCCACACAUAUAUAAAGGGAAAGGUACUACUACCCCCACACAGAUACAAUAGGAAAGGUACUACUACCCCCACACAUAUAUAAAGGGAAAGGUACUACUACCCCCACACAGAUACAAUAGGAAAGGUACUACUACCCCCACACAUAUAUAAAGGGAAAGGUACUACUACCCCCACACAGAUACAAUAGGAAAGGUACUACUACCCCCACACAUAUAUAAAGGGAAAGGUACUACUACCCCCACACAGAUACAAUAGGAAAGGUACUACUACCCCCACACAUAUAUAAAGGGAAAGGUACUACUACCCCCACACAGAUACAAUAGGAAAGGUACUACUACCCCCACACAUAUAUAAAGGGAAAGGUACUACUACCCCCACACAGAUACAAUAGGAAAGGUACUACUAC
Molecule: long non-coding RNA, 671 nt
Organism: Oncorhynchus keta (chum salmon)
Lineage: Eukaryota; Metazoa; Chordata; Actinopteri; Salmoniformes; Salmonidae
Exons: 3
Source: RefSeq, a predicted model, not a curated record